RNAcentral lists this unclassified non-coding RNA (390 nucleotides) under soil metagenome. Its description in RNAcentral is "partial contains 5.8S ribosomal RNA, internal transcribed spacer 2, and large subunit ribosomal RNA". The stretch from base 1 to 122 matches the Rfam family "5.8S ribosomal RNA", at positions 35 to 154 of the family's 154-position model. The record is from RNAcentral.
GAUGAAGAACGUAGCGAAAUGCGAUACUUGGUGUGAAUUGCAGAAUCCCGUGAACCAUCGAGUCUUUGAACGCAAGUUGCGCCCGAAGCCAUUAGGCCGAGGGCACGCCUGCCUGGGCGUCACACGUCGUUGCCCCCCCAUCUACUCCUUCGGGAUUGCGGGGGGCGGAUGAUGGCCUCUCGUGCGCCUCGUCGCGCGGUUGGCCUAAAUGCCAAGUCCUCGGCGACGCACGCCACGACAAUCGGUGGUUGCGAAACCUCGGUUGCCUGUCGUGUGCGGUCGUCGCGCAUCGAGGGCUCGAAAAAAUUGCCGGGCUUCGGCUCGACUUUCAACGCGACCCCAGGUCAGGCGGGGUUACCCGCUGAAUUUAAGCAUAUCAAUAAGCGGAGA